RNAcentral lists this ribosomal RNA (477 nucleotides) under uncultured bacterium. RNAcentral's name for it is "partial 16S ribosomal RNA". It matches the Rfam family "Bacterial small subunit ribosomal RNA", at positions 28 to 506 of the family's 1533-position model. The record is from RNAcentral.
GACGAACGCUGGCGGCGUGCUUAACACAUGCAAGUCGAACGGGAUUUAGUAAACAGAAGCCUCGGUGGAAGAUUACUAAUGAGAGUGGCGAACGGGUGAGUAACGCGUGAGCAACCUGCCUAUGACAGUGGGAUAGCCUCGGGAAACCGGGAUUAAUACCGCAUAAAAUCGUAGAAACACAUGUUUUAACGGUCAAAGAUUUAUCGGUCAUAGAUGGGCUCGCGUCUGAUUAGCUAGUUGGUGAGAUAACAGCCCACCAAGGCGACGAUCAGUAGCCGGUGGGGGGGGGGGAACGGCCCAGUGGGAAAGGGGACCGGGUCCAAACCCCGAGGGGGGGGGGCGGGGGGGAAAAUUGCGAAGGGGGGGAAACCCGGGGGGAGGGCGGCCGGGGGAACGGAGAAGGUUUUGGUAUGGAAAAGUUCUGGCCGAGGGGAAGAUAAUGAAAGUACCAAAGAAAAAAGCCCCGCCUAAAUACGU